ACAUGCAGUCGAGCGAACGGACGAGAAGCUUGCUUCUCUGAUGUUAGCGGCGGAGGGUGAGUAACACGUGGAUAACCUACCUAUAAGACUGGGAUAACUUCGGGAAACCGGAGCUAAUACCGGAUAAUAUUUUGAACCGCAUGGUUCAAAAGUGAAAGACGGUCUUGCUGUCACUUAUAGAUGGAUCCGCGCUGCAUUAGCUAGUUGGUAAGGUAACGGCUUACCAAGGCAACGAUGCAUAGCCGACCUGAGAGGGUGAUCGGCCACACUGGAACUGAGACACGGUCCAGACUCCUACGGGAGGCAGCAGUAGGGAAUCUUCCGCAAUGGGCGAAAGCCUGACGGAGCAACGCCGCGUGAGUGAUGAAGGUCUUCGGAUCGUAAAACUCUGUUAUUAGGGAAGAACAUAUGUGUAAGUAACUGUGCACAUCUUGACGGUACCUAAUCAGAAAGCCACGGCUAACUACGUGCCAGCAGCCGCGGUAAUACGUAGGUGGCAAGCGUUAUCCGGAAUUAUUGGGCGUAAAGCGCGCGUAGGCGGUUUUUUAAGUCUGAUGUGAAAGCCCACGGCUCAACCGUGGAGGGUCAUUGGAAACUGGAAAACUUGAGUGCAGAAGAGGAAAGUGGAAUUCCAUGUGUAGCGGUGAAAUGCGCAGAGAUAUGGAGGAACACCAGUGGCGAAAGCGACUUUCUGGUCUGUAACUGACGCUGAUGUGCGAAAGCGUGGGGAUCAAACAGGAUUAGAUACCCUGGUAGUCCACGCCGUAAACGAUGAGUGCUAAGUGUUAGGGGGUUUCCGCCCCUUUAGUGCUGCAGCUAACGCAUUAAGCAC
This 832-nucleotide ribosomal RNA is filed under the name Staphylococcus aureus. RNAcentral's name for it is "bacterial SSU rRNA". It matches the Rfam family "Bacterial small subunit ribosomal RNA", at positions 53 to 867 of the family's 1533-position model. Lineage: Bacteria; Bacillati; Bacillota; Bacilli; Caryophanales; Staphylococcaceae. The record is from RNAcentral.